Long non-coding RNA from Hyla sarda, 993 nucleotides. RefSeq lists it as uncharacterized. Lineage: Eukaryota; Metazoa; Chordata; Amphibia; Anura; Hylidae. The transcript has 4 exons. The record is from RefSeq and is a predicted model, not a curated record.
CUUUUUCUUUAUUUGUUGUACUGCUUUGCUUUUUCUGUCACAUGGGAGAAAAUGUUGCUGUAAAGAAAAGAAGUGAUACAGAUAGUCCAGGAGCUUGUCCUUCAUGAAAUGAACAUUUGAUUUGACAUCAUUUUUGUCGCCUUUUGCAUGAGGUAGGACAUCGUCCAGGUAGAAACGAAUCAUUUCAGAUACAGUCUGGCAACCAAUUGAACUCUUGCCUUUGCUUUACUUGUAUUAUCAAGAGCAUUGCUAAACAGAGUUCUAUUACAGAAUAUUCAUAGAGACAAACCACCAGCAUUACAGGAGAUGUCUGUAUGUCAUUAUGUAAGGGCAAGGAUGACUUACAAAUACUUUCAUGUAACAUUUAUAUGGAAUAUUAGGCAUUUCAUGGAUAUAGAUCACACUUCCAGAAAAUGGUGAGGUAGAACAUGAAAAUAUGAUUGGAUGGAGGAGGAGGAGGAACAUCUCAUCUGUUUGAAAAUUGUUUAAAUAAUGUUUUUAUACAUAAUGUCAGUUUAAUAUGUAGUGAAUUUUUGUGUCAUGGGGAGUGUUACUAUAAUACUUUAUUUUUUAUGAAUAAAAAGAUUUUUUGCACAGAUUAAUUUAGUACACAUUUUUAUAGGCAGAUUGAAGUUAGUGAACUGCUAUGGUAUAGAGAUUGGAACACAUCUCUAGAUGGACAAUUUAUAUAUUUAUAUAAUUUAUAUAUUUUUUGGGUUCUAUUUUUUUAUUCUAUUUCUCUUUUUUUCUUUUAAUUUGGAUAUACAAUGCUUUAGAGGGACCCACUCAGGUUGAUAUGGCGCUGCUGAAUAAGCGGGCGCUCUCCAUUUUAGACUAUGGUGGUGAGAGCCCCUGGACAGGGGUUUAGCGACUCAGUUCUGGGGACUCUCCCUUUGACUGAUGCCUCGGGGUACAUAGAUAAUGGGCCCCUCGACACAUGGUGUUGGAAGCAGAAUUAGAGAGUUAAUAUAUGGGUCGCCUUUAAUGUAUGAG